AGAGUUUGAUCCUGGCUCAGAACGAACGCUGGCGGUGCGUCUUAAGCAUGCAAGUCGAACGGGAUUCAGCAGCUUGCUGUUGAUGAGAGUGGCGGACUGGUGAGUAACACGUGGGUGACAUACCCUCCUGACGGGGAUAGCCUUUAGAAAUAAGGGGUAAUACCGGAUACGCACGUACAGGUUAGAGGUGUACGUGGAAAGGGAGCUUCGGCUCCGCGGGAGGAAUGGCUUGCGGCCCAUUAGCUGGUUGGUGUGGUAACGGCGCACCAAGGCGAUGAUGGGUAUCCGGCCUGAGAGGGUGAACGGACACAUUGGGACUGAGAUACGGCCCAGACUCCUACGGGAGGCAGCAGCUAAGAAUAUUCCGCAAUGGACGGAAGUCUGACGGAGCGACACCGCGUGAAUGAAGAAGGCCGGAAGGUUGUAAAGUGCUUUUGAAUGUGAAGAAUAAGCAGGUCAGGUAAUGGGCGUGCGGUGACGGUAGCAUUUGAAUAAGAGGCGGCUAAUUACGUGCCAGCAGCCGCGGUAACACGUAAGCCUCGAGCGUUGUUCGGAAUUAUUGGGCGUAAAGGGUAUGUAGGCGGAGCUGAAAGCCUGUCGUGAAAUGCAGAAGCUUAACUUCUGAGCUGCGAUGGGAACUUCAGUUCUGGAAUCACUGAAGGGCAGCCGGAAUUCCAGGUGUAGGGGUGAAAUCUGUAGAUAUCUGGAAGAACACCGAUGGCGAAGGCAGGCUGCUGGCAGAUGAUUGACGCUGAGGUACGAAAGUGCGGGUAGCGAACAGGAUUAGAUACCCUGGUAGUCCGCACAGUAAACGAUGCACACUAGGUGUAGGGGCAGAAGUCUCUGUGCCGGAGCGAACGUGAUAAGUGUGCCGCCUGGGGAGUAUGCCCGCAAGGGUGAAACUCAAAGGAAUUGACGGGGGCCCGCACAAGCGGUGGAGCAUGUGGUUUAAUUCGAUGGUACGCGAGGAACCUUACCUGGGUUUGACAUAUACGGUGAUUAUCUGGAGACAGGUAAGCGCAGCAAUGCGACCGUAUACAGGUGCUGCAUGGCUGUCGUCAGCUCGUGCCGUGAGGUGUUGGGUUAAGUCCCGCAACGAGCGCGACCCCUACUGCCGGUUACCAGCACGUAAAGGUGGGGACUCAGGCGGAACUGCCGGUGACAAACCGGAGGAAGGUGGGGACGACGUCAAGUCAUCAUGGCCCUUAUGUCCAGGGCUACACACGUGCUACAAUGGUCGAAACAGAGCGAAGCGAAGCGGCGACGCGGAGCAAAACGCAAAAAAGCGGCCGUAGUUCGGAUCGGAGUCUGAAACCCGACUCCGUGAAGUUGGAAUCGCUAGUAAUCGCGCAUCAGCACGGCGCGGUGAAUACGUUCCCGGGCCUUGCACUCACCGCCCGUCA
RNAcentral lists this ribosomal RNA (1403 nucleotides) under uncultured bacterium. Its description in RNAcentral is "bacterial SSU rRNA". It matches the Rfam family "Bacterial small subunit ribosomal RNA". The record is from RNAcentral.